Molecule: ribosomal RNA, 468 nt
Filed under: uncultured bacterium
Lineage: Bacteria
Description: partial 16S ribosomal RNA
Rfam family: Bacterial small subunit ribosomal RNA
Source: RNAcentral
GACGAACGCUGGCGGCGUGCUUAACACAUGCCAGUCGAACGGAAAGGCCCUGCUUUUGUGGUGUGCUCGAGUGGCGAACGGGUGAGUAACACGUGAGUAACCUGCCCUUGACUUUGGGAUAACUUCAGGAAACUGGGGCUAAUACCGGAUAGGAGCUCCUGCUGCAUGGUGGGGGUUGGAAAGUUUCGGCGGGUGGGGAUGGACUCGCGGCUUAUCAGCUUGUUGGUGGGGUAGUGGCUUACCAAGGCUUUGACGGGUAGCCGGCCUGAGAGGGUGACCGGGCACCUUGGGCCUGAGAUAGGGACCAGAGUGCAAUGGGAGGCAGUAGUGGGGAAUAUUGCCCAAUGGGACCAAGCCUGAUGCAGCAACGUCCGGUGUGGGAAGACCGCCUUUUGGGUGUAAACCGCUUUCGCCUGUGACGAAGCGUGAGUGACGGUAAUGGGUAAAGAAGCACCGGCUAACUACGUG